AUACGGAGGAUGCGAGCGUUAUCCGGAUUUAUUGGGUUUAAAGGGUGCGUAGGCUGUUUGGUAAGUCAGGGGUGAAAUGCCGUCGCUCAACGACGGAGCUGCCCUUGCUACUGCCGAGCUGGAGUACGGAUGCCGUUGGAGGAAUGAGGGGUGUAGCGGUGAAAUGCAUAGAUAUCACUCAGAACACCGAUUGCGAAGGCAUCUGACGAAUCCGUCACUGACGCUGAGGCACGAAAGCGUGAGGAUAGAACAGGAUUAGAUACCCUGGUAUUCCACGCCGUAAACGAUGAUGACUAACCGCCUGCGAUAUAGUGUAGGUGGCCAAGCGAAAGCGAUAAGUCAUCCACCUGGGGAGUACGACCGCAAGGUUGAAACUCAAAGGAAUUGACGGGG
This 393-nucleotide ribosomal RNA is filed under the name uncultured bacterium. RNAcentral describes it as "partial 16S ribosomal RNA". It matches the Rfam family "Bacterial small subunit ribosomal RNA", at positions 523 to 918 of the family's 1533-position model. The record is from RNAcentral.